UCUCCCACUCCUCACAGGGAAAGCCCAGCAGGUCGGAACCGGAGCAGGAGCGGCGCCGGCAGCUGGCCCAGGGCGUGGCCCGCCUGCGUGGGGAGCUGCAGCAGUUGGACCUGCAGAUGGAGACGGCCCAGCGCGAGGUCAUGCCUGACGAGGUCUCCCUGGAGGCGGCCCAGGAGCGGAUCCGCGACGCCCAGCGCCGCUCCCUGCUGCUCAAGGCCUAUGCGGCCCGCACGGCCAAGGAGCACCAGCAGCUGCAGGCCAGCGUAACACAGCUGGAGGGGCGGCUGGAGCAGCUGCAGGACAUCAGCAGAAAGGCCAAGGUGGAGCUGACGGUGGGAGGGAAGGUGCCUGACCUCGGGUUUGCUGGCGUGGAGCCUGAAGUACUGCGGGACGUGCGGACGGCCUGCCAGCUGCGCUUCCACUUCCUGAAGUGGCUCUUCGAGCACAGCACGUCUGGGGCCCUCCCGUAAGAGCCUGCGAGCUCCCCUACCCUCCCCUUCCCCUCCGCCGCUCUGUUUCUGACCCGCCCCAUGUGUGUGUCUCUCAGCAGCGGGACAAGCGAGGAGCUGCUGGAGGCAUCCUACCAGCACUGGUUGAGCACGGUGGAGGUAACAGGGGAGGGAGGCGCAAUAGGGUAGGGACCCUGGGGACGUCUCGCAUGGUGCAGAGAUGCAGCCACCUCUGAGCUGGGAACAGCUGCACAUAACACUGCACUGGGUCAGCUCAC
Molecule: long non-coding RNA, 727 nt
Filed under: Chrysemys picta bellii (western painted turtle)
Lineage: Eukaryota; Metazoa; Chordata; Testudines; Emydidae
Description: lncRNA (ENSCPBG00000005983.1)
Source: RNAcentral